This 465-nucleotide ribosomal RNA is filed under the name uncultured bacterium. RNAcentral describes it as "bacterial LSU rRNA". It matches the Rfam family "Bacterial large subunit ribosomal RNA", at positions 1277 to 1740 of the family's 2925-position model. The record is from RNAcentral.
AGAUAUCAGAAGUGCGAAUGCUGACAUGAGUAGCGAUAAGCGUGUGAAAAGCACGCUCGCCGAAAGCCCAAGGUUUCCUGCGCAACGUUCAUCGGCGCAGGGUGAGUCGGCCCCUAAGGCGAGGCCGAAAGGCGUAGUCGAUGGGAAACGGGUCAAUAUUCCCGUACCGAUCUGUAAUGCGAUGGGGGGACGGAGAAGGUUAGCUCAGCCGGGGUGUUUGGAACGUCCCCGGUUUUAAGCGUGUAGUCGUGCUGCCUAGGCAAAUCCGGGUGGUUUUAGACGAGGCGUGAUGACGAGGACCUUCGGGUCUGAAGUGAGUGAUACCCUGCUUCCAGGAAAAGCCUCUAAGCUUCAGUUACAGAUUGACCGUACCGCAAACCGACACAGGUGGGCAGGAUGAAAAUUCUAAGGCGCUUGAGAGAACUCAGGAGAAGGAACUCGGCAAAUUGAUACCGUAACUUCGGG